UUUCUAACCAGGCUUCCAAGGAAACAACUCUUAGAAAACUUUUGAACGUUUUCUUGGCGAGAGGCGUAAGGUCGCCAAGGUCCCGUCAAAUGCAACAUCCUCCUCUGGCAAACGGGACUUCGAAGGUUUCUCAACAAAAGUGGCUUCGCACUUCCUCUGUUGAAAUCAGGCCCUGAAAUUGCAAAGAUGCCACAGCCCCAUUCCUGUGGUUCCGCACUGCUGUAAAUUGGUGACAGUACCCUCUGAACUCUACUGCCUCCCAAGAAGGACACCCAUCACAAUCAACUCCUCCCCCACUACCAAUGGUAAUGGGAGUGGCAGCCUUAGUGAGAACACAGUGAAAGAACAGCAUCAUACACACAGCAUACAGCGCAGAAAUAUACAAGCACAAGGUACACAAAUUUGAAAAGGGGAGGGAUAUGGUAGAGGAGGGUGGAGCAGGAACAGAAGCACACACAAAUUACACCAGGGAGUGGGGGGAGUGGAGGCAGCCAUGCUGUCCUCAAAGGAGUGUAUAAAGGAAGUUUGCAAAGUCUCUCCUUGGUUUGAAGCUCUCAGAACUGUAUACAAAAACUAAGACUCCCAAUUAGUAGACAAGCCUGUACAAAAAUCAGGAUUGGGGGAAAUAGGGAGGGAGGGCAGAUUUUUUUUAAAACUUACAAUUUUAUUUUAUUUCUUUAAAAAAGCCCAAAAUACUGAGGGCAGGGUAUGUAUGAGGACUGCAAUUUCCUUUAAGAGCAGGUUGGGGCAAAACAGCCCAUGCCUAAAGAUUGACCAAAAGGACAAGUUCCCUUCCAGAUAACUGCAGAAUAUUUUUCUAACGUAUUCCAGAAAAUUUAAAACCCUACAUAAUCUCUUGCCAUAUUGGCUUUCUGGGAUCUUCAGGCAAAACAGAAUUACUGCUCUGCCAUCUCUAAGACAGUCAAGAUGAACCACUUAAAAUUCAACCCACAAAAAUCAUAGCUGCCCCAAUGUGAGUCAUGACAUUGUCCACAAGACUCUAAGACUCUCCUGCUAAAAUUGAACCUUCUUGAUGCCCCUUAUAGGAAACUGAAUGAUAAAAGGCGCCUUAGACCAGAUUUUUCCUGCCCAUCUUAAGUAAUCAGUCCUGUGGCCUCCUCCCAAGGUACUUCAUGCUGAUCCACCAAAUGGACUUGAGGCUCUAAGGGUCUGCUAUGAAUACCACUCCCUAACAGUGUUGCUUGUGGUAUCCAGGGCGCUGGAUGCAUGGACAGGGAAGGAGAAGGAAUUAAAAUUCUGCUGGGACUAAAAGCCCACUGUUCCAAUUCUGCCCUAAAGGAGACAACCAAGAGUGCAGACAGCAGGGAAUCGUGGCCAGGUUAACUGUAGACAGGCAGGCGCUGCAGUGCUCAUAGACCUUGAUACCUUGUUGGCCAGCCACUCUUCUUCACAAUUGUCCAGGUAGAAUGGUUUCGACUCAGUCUGUGGAGCACCAGCCAAGUCACGUAUAGGCCUGGC
This 1479-nucleotide long non-coding RNA is filed under the name Laticauda laticaudata (blue-ringed sea krait). RNAcentral describes it as "lncRNA (ENSLLTG00000004272.1)". The record is from RNAcentral. Lineage: Eukaryota; Metazoa; Chordata; Lepidosauria; Squamata; Elapidae.